Molecule: long non-coding RNA, 6384 nt
Filed under: Gallus gallus (chicken)
Lineage: Eukaryota; Metazoa; Chordata; Aves; Galliformes; Phasianidae
Description: lncRNA (ENSGALG00010022003.1)
Source: RNAcentral
UUUCUUUUUUUCAGCAGGGUUCAUCUGGCAGCUGCCUGAAGUUAGCAGGAGAUGAGAGAGGUAUAUGAGAAGAAAAUGCUGGAAACUGGGCCAGGGAUCAUUUUAUGACAGGAUUCACCAGAGGGUGCUAUUACACAUAACCUUCAUUUUUCUUGGCUUAGAAGAAUGGAUCCUUUUAAGGGGACGCUGAAAUAUUGCCAGUUUUAAGAUACCAACCCUUUUUCUGAGUGGGAAACUGAAAAACAAAAAACAAAAACAACAAAAAAACACAAACAGCUUUUUCCUCUUCUUCCUCCCGAUUUGAUUUGUUUAUUUGUUUGUUCAGUUGGUGGGGUUCUUUUGCUAGAACUGUCCAACAGGAACCAAAUCUUGUUGCAGUUUCCCACCUCACACCCAAAUUCUUAAUGUUUUGGGAAGGGUUCACUGAAUGUCUCUGUUCUGAGACUGAUAUAAAUAGCAAAAUUGUUUUUGCACUCCUACCUGUGUGCGGUGGGUUGGAUUUCUCCUGUGGUAGGAAACAUUUGCAUUUACUAUGGCUACAUAGAGGAAGGAUGCUGUAGUUUCCCAUCACCACCAACACAAAGACCUCUGCAGUUUUGCUUGCACAGAGAGGACUAGAUCUUAGGGACAAGGUACAAAAGCUGUCCUUGCUGCAGCAUGGGGACAAGUGGCAAUUAUGGACUUAGCCCAAAGUAGGACACACCUGUGGUUCUGCCUUCCUUGUGGAGAGAAAGAAGAUGGCAAGGAUGAGGCUGAGGGGCUGCUGUGCUUCUGCAGGUGGUGCAGCCGUGGCAAUUUGACAAGCACAGAGAGAAGCAUGUUGCAAACAACUCUCAGGCUUCCAACAGAGACCUGUUUGUUUUUCCUUGUUUAAUUUGGGAACCAUGCAUCUAAGCACACUUGGUAUGUCUCCAUGUGUAAGCCUAUACUGCAGCCUAUUGAUUUCCUUCACCCUUGGCAAGAAUAUCACAAUGGAUUUUGGCUUUGCCUGUAAUCUCUUGAGCGGAUGAGUCUAGAAAUUCAAAUGAGAGCUUAACUUGCUGACUGUCUGCACUGCCCACAUGAUGGCUGCUCUGCUCCUUUGGCUCUGGUCUGGAGCAAGUUAGCUGUCUGUUUAGGCAAGGAAACUUGGGUACAGGGCAGGCAUGACUGGUUCCCAUCUGUGCACUGGGUCUACAAAAUCUGGUUCCAGGGACUUGGCUCUGCAGACCAGAUCCGGAACAUGAGCACAUCUCCCAAAGGCUGUAUAGGUACAGGCUCUGUUAUUUUUGAUAGAUAUCUGGUUUUAAUCUGGAAGCAAGCCCUUGAAUGCAGCCACCUGGCUCCUUGACAGUACUGUGUGUUGCCUAGCAAUGUGAGGAGAAGAUACUGGAUCCAUUUCUUCCCCUAUCUGUGCCAGAACCAACCAGAGGAAAGAUAAUUUUAUGAUGAGGAAUUAACAUCUUAUUUGUGGAACGGCCUUCUUAUCACCAUAUGGCUUUAGUUGGAACAGUGGUCACCCAUGCAGUAGAAGGUUUGCAGCUUCAGUCUAUGCAUUUUGCAGAGAGUUACUUUUUGGUAAUACAGUUUUGUUUGUAGUGUGGUUGCCUCUAAGCUUUUCAAGUUGGAAGUACUGUCAGUCCUCUUAGAUUUUCCUGCCCUGAAUAAAACUAACAGUAACAAGUGAAAAUGCAGGCAAAUUUGCAUGAAGAUGAGAAAUCUUCUCCAAGUCAGCAGAUACAAAUGCACCUGGAAAUUCCAUUCCAUUAUUAAUAUGCUAAUUCAACAGAUUUUUUCCAAAUUGCAUCAUAGCUUAAGAGUCCACUGAUAUCAGUGCCCUGUGCUGUCAGCAAUGGAAGGCAAGCAGUAAUCCCAACAGUGGUGGAAUGUUUAUCGGUUUAUUUGUGAUUUCAUUUAUUUCUUAGAAGAAUCAAAAUAAUAAUACCAUCCUACAGAUACAUUUUUAGAUUCUUCUGUUUAAGGAAGCGAUGGUCUUCUUAAGUAGUGCUAUAUAUUCUGUUCUUCUCUACUUUGAGAUAUUGCCAAAGAAGAGGCUUGAGUUAACCCCUUCUUGACUGGAGGAUUUAAAAUGUCUUUUUGUGCCAUGCCUUUAGCAGAUAAGGAAAGCUUCUCCAGCAAUUAUGUGGUGUUUAAAGUCACUGAAUUAAUUGUGAAGUUGUCAGUUUGAUUUAACUGAUUGAAAACUAGAGCUCCAGCAUUCAGUGCAUGGGGGCCUGAAUCACUGGUGCAGGAGAAAGGUAGGAAAGGAGGAUGUUUGCCUCUUUCAUGUACGUCGCCAUAUGUUGCUGUCAGAGUCUGAAAUGAAAUGGCGAUCACAUGCAUCCAGGAAAUGGACCGGAAAGGGUGCUGUCAGUGAGAUUCAUUAAAUUCUCAUUCUCUUAUGUGCUAUGACCUUUCCAGUGUUUUUAGGGUGUUAAGAAACUAUAUUCCUGAAGUUGUUAUAGUGCUUAUUUUAACAGUAGUGAACACCUUCAUCUGUAACUUCUCAUGAGUUUGAAAGCUUACAUUUGGUGGUACUUAAUAAGUCUGCACAGACAACAGAAGAGACUUCAGAAGUGUAAAAGUCUUAAUUAGUUCAAUUGAUAACCACAUGGGAUAGAGACAAACAAAUGCUUUUGGAGAAGAGAGGUGAGGUUUCCAGGCAUUCUCUUUGCAAUGGGUCACUGAUUAAAUUUGCUGCCUCUCAGAACUGUGUUAAUGGAAAGCCAAAGGCUGGUAUCAGAUCCAAUAAAUUCUGUUUCAAGAAAUUGGAAUGAUCAGCUUGGUAAAGCACAAAUCAGGCUUAUCCAACCCAAUUGCCCUUUGUGAUGAAAGGUCUGACUAUGUGGAUAAGGAGAGAGCACUAGAUGUCAUAUGCCUUGAUUUAUUUAGACUUCAGAUACAAUCUGUCACUGCACACUUGUUCUGAAGCUGAAGGAGAGUGGCUAGAUGAUUUAGCUGUUGGAGUGGUAAAAAUAUUUGUCUUGAGUGCUGGGUUCAAGGAGUAGCACUCCUUGGCUUGGUGUCCACCAGAGGUGGCAGAUGCCUAAUGUAUUACCACCAGGGUCUGUACUAUGGUAUUACUUUUAUCAAUGACCUGGAUAAUAACAGCAAUUAAAUCCCUAUCAAAUUUGCAGGUGUUAUUUAAUUAGAUGGGAUGUUUGAUGUUUCAAAACAUCCAGAACUUUUGGGUAAGAUGGAGAAAUUUGAAGCCUAGACAAACAAGAACUUUACAACAGGAACUCUUUACAACCAAGAGGAGUACUCAUGGAGUACUCAUAGUACCAUACACUGGUACUACCUGGGAACCAUCUGGCUGAGUAGCAGCCCUCACCAGAAGGACCUAGAGGUUAUGAUGGAUGCUAUGUUAAAGAUGUGCUGACAGUGCACUGUCACAGCAAAUAAGGCAAAUAGCAGCAAUCUUCAUUAGAAAGAAAGUAGCCAAAAGCUUGAAGGGUGCUAGGUGAACGUGCGUAUUUCAGCAGGGUUACAACAGCUUGGUCUUGGCCAUGUUCUUCUCAUUCCACCUUGGAUGCUUUAUUGUUCUGAUGCAAACAGCACUGUGGCUUUGUUCAUGUAAAGACAUGGGAUAAUAAGAUCAAAGCUAUCUUGGGUACCGUUCUGUAGGUUCCAAUUACACCUCUGGUUGAAGUGCAGACAGAUAUUUACAUCUUGAUUUGCUUCUGGAAGUUCCCUCCUCUUCCUCUCCCACUCCCACCCUGCAGCUCAGUGUCUGAAGUCAACCUCAACUAAAUACCAGAAGACACCAGAAAUGUGAGACAGCUGCUCAGAUGCUCAGAGAAAUGACCUGAGAAGAAAGCGCCAGGUGACACAUCCCAGGAAAUGGAUCCUGUCCUAAAAGGAAAAUGCAUUCAUCAUUCAGAUAACUUCUGCCACUGAAAAGCCAUCUGGAUAAACAAGGAAAGAGUUACACAACCGUUGCACAGAUCCCCAUCCCUUCCUGUCCACUUGUAGAAAGGCAGAUGUGUUAAACAAGGCUUCAGCUGUGGGCAGAGAAGAGAAUGGGAGACCGUGGGGGAGGAAGCACAGCCUGGAAUUCCUGAGGCUAGCAGUAAGGAGAGCAAGUGCUGUGUUUCCAUCAUCAGAUCCUUUGUGUCAUACACAAUACUCAUAACUGGAAGUUGGGCAGCAAAGACCUCAGACCAACACAGCUGUGCCACCAGGAGAAAAUGGAAACUGGGAUUCUCAGAUAUCCACCUGCAGAAUCUCGUUUUCUGCAGCUUCUCCACUUCUGAACAAGGCAUUGCUAAAGUGUCAUCACAGGAUCCAUCUUCUUCCUACACCUCAACCGCACUACUGCCCAGGUAGCGAGUCUUCACUGCAAGAGGUGGUCAUCAGCUGACCACUCUGCGUUAGCUGUCCUCACUCAGCAGCCCUGUGCUCCCUCAUUCCUCCCAGAUGCCUCUCCUUCUGCUCUCCAGCAGCUGCCAAGAUAUUUUCAGAUCUUUCCCGUGUGCCCCAUGCCUUCCAGAAGGAAGGAGGAAGUUGGAGAUGUCUGAUGACUUCGGGAGGCAAGAGGAGAGUCUGAAAUUCAGUAGAUACCAUUGGAGCACUGUCAUGACUUUCUACAAAGCCAGAAUACAGAAGGAAUAAAUUAUUGCUAAAGAUUCACAGGCUGACAAGAACUGUAUCAGGAAGCGGCUGGAAGACAUUUUCGUUAGUGUUACCAUUUAUAGCUAUAAAUAUUAGGAGAAGCAUUAACCAAAGAAAGCCUAUUGUCACCUGCCUCCAAAGGCAAGAGAAAUCUUUGAGGAAGAGCCAUGUUCAGUGCUGUUUUUUCAGUUUGGAGAGGGUCAACACUGAAAUCUGACCGGUAGCCUCAAAAAAUAAUUGAAACCUAUACCCCUUCAAACCAAGAAGAAAUGGAGUACUGCAGAGACCUCACUCCCCCUCAUUCAAGAGGAAAGUCUAUAGGCCAAGCUGGGAAGCCAUAGCAAUCUGUGUGAAUUCACAGACUGAGCUGAAUCCCUCAUAAAUAGUGGAAUAUUGUCUGGGAGAAAGUCCAUUAUGAGAACAGUCUUGGAAGCUAGCUAGAAUAUGGCAAAUCUAUUGAGCAGCUGAGAUAACAAGAACACACGCAGGAGAGUUAAGGGCAGAAGGAAAUGGGUGUACAGUGUGUGUCAUAAAUUACAAAAGGAGAGUAAGCAGGGUGUGCAUGGGAGACUGAAUGCUGUGAGCAAAGGUCAGGACCAGACACUGCAAUGAAAAGGUGCAUGUGUGAUGCAGCAGAAGCUGUAACCUAACUCGUCUGUAGGAAAAUUCACAAGGAGAUGGGAAAGGAAAUAUUUUUAUUUACUUUUUUUCCUCUCCUGCCAAAUACUGUGGGUCAUUAGCUGGGACAAGCUGUUGGUAACAGAGCAGGCUCUCAAGAGACCAAGUUCUUACGUCCCAGCUCUGAGGCUGCCAGUUAAAGCUGAGGCAUCUCAGAGAGUCACAUCAUUUACAGAGACCAGCAUUCCCCACAGGACUGGCCUGGGAUGCCUGGCUGCAGUGCCAGAGGCAAGCUGGGGUUGUUUCUCAUCACAGAAGUGAAGGCAGCAGAGUUUAAGGGAAAUGAGAAGGCGAAGGCUGGCCUGUUUGAUUCAAAUAGUCCCUUCUAGCAUAAAGGGAGAUGCUGUAGACAAUCCCAGUUUGUGGCAUGAGCUCUCCUCUGAGUACUUCUAGAGAGGCAUUUAAAUCCCUGCUCUACACUCAUGCUGCAAAAGCCAUGGAUCGGGAUCAGACCCAGGGAUGUUUGUCCUGUUUCAGUAUUGUAAGUGCAGGUUCCUCCCCCAGUGCUCAGGGGAAGGGCUGUGCAGUGACAGAGCUGUAAUUUACACUGCAGUUGAUGAUGUGGGCUUCAGUCUUUAUUUUUACUGUUCAAAUCCUCUGUGUCCUGUGACUUUGUUCCUCAUUCAUAAACGGUGAAAAAUAUCACUUCCUCAUUCUGAAGAAGAAAUAGAGCGAAUAGCUUGAGAUGUGAUGCUGCAUCUUUAGGAGCCACGGAAUACUGCAGCUGUGAAAUAUGGCUGUUCUUGCAUAAAAUAUUUGCAUGCAGUGUUACUUGCAGAGGGAGAAUCAACCUGAAGCAUGAGCUUUACUGCUGAAUUGCAGGGAAGGAAAACUGCACGACAGCCUGAACUCCUGUAUGAUUGCAUCCCAUUCCCCAUCCCCACCACUCAGCUUGACAUAUUUAAAAUCUCUAGAGAUCCUCCUUUAAGAUACCAGUGCUUCCCAUUGUGCUGGCUUUUAUUGGAUUUCGGGUGCCAUUCAGUCAACCCCCCCCUCAGCCACUCGAAUUCUUGAAAUGCUGGGAUCAUAUUUCACCUGAUCUGGCACUGAACCAUGUUCGCUAUCUCACCCCAAAAUUAAUUAAACCAUAAAUUUUCAGAAUAAACAUGAAGC